UACAGAGGGUGCAAGCGUUAAUCGGAAUGACUGGGCGUAAAGGGCGUGUAGGUGGCACUAUAAGUUAGAUGUGAAAUCCCUGGGCUUAACCUAGGAAGGUCAUCUAAUACUGUAGAGCUAGAGUAUAGGAGAGGGAAGUGGAAUUUCCGGUGUAGCGGUGAAAUGCGUAGAUAUCGGAAGGAACACCAGUGGCGAAGGCGGCUUCCUGGCCUAAUACUGACACUGAGGCGCGAAAGCGUGGGUAGCGAACGGG
RNAcentral lists this ribosomal RNA (253 nucleotides) under uncultured bacterium. RNAcentral describes it as "partial 16S ribosomal RNA". It matches the Rfam family "Bacterial small subunit ribosomal RNA", at positions 524 to 776 of the family's 1533-position model. The record is from RNAcentral.